Molecule: ribosomal RNA, 249 nt
Filed under: uncultured bacterium
Lineage: Bacteria
Description: partial 16S ribosomal RNA
Rfam family: Bacterial small subunit ribosomal RNA
Source: RNAcentral
UUUGAUGGCGACCGGCGCACGGGUGAGUAACACGUAUCCAACCUGCCGAUGACUCGGGGAUAGCCUUUCGAAAGAAAGAUUAAUACCCGAUGGCAUAGUUCUUCCGCAUGGUGGAACUAUUAAAGAAUUUCGGUCAUCGAUGGGGAUGCGUUCCAUUAGGUUGUUGGCGGGGUAACGGCCCACCAAGCCUUCGAUGGAUAGGGGUUCUGAGAGGAAGGUCCCCCACAUUGGAACUGAGACACGGUCCAA